Prionailurus viverrinus (fishing cat) is the source of this 1300-nucleotide long non-coding RNA. RefSeq lists it as uncharacterized. Lineage: Eukaryota; Metazoa; Chordata; Mammalia; Carnivora; Felidae. The transcript is spliced from 4 exons. The record is from RefSeq and is a predicted model, not a curated record.
AGGUGAUCCUGUAGUACAACAAAUCCUUUGUGGAAUGAGGCAAGCCAAAGAACUUGGCGUCCAAACAGAAGUGUCAUCACUUGAUAAUGGAUAUACUUGAAUCAGCCAAGCUACCCAUUCAGCAGCAGGAUAUUUGACAGCCUUUCUGAUUAAAGAAAAGAAGGUUCUUGGCUGAGACUUCCCUGUAAUAAAAGAUGGAUCAACAUGAAAACAACAAACUGAAGUUUAGUAACAAGUAUACAUCCUGCGUACAUGGAAGAGACCCAAGAAAACUGUGUAACUCCCCACAGUGGUCCAAGCCAUCACCUUAAAUAUCCUUUCUACCUAAAGACAGAAGAAGAUGAUGCUGGGCCAGACCGGGAAGCCAGUACUGGGAGAUUUUUAGACAAAGCACAGUAACCAAAGCUCAGCAAGACACAGCUCUGUUUACACUCUCAGGCCAUGAUCCAUAAAGUUGCCUUUGGCCUCAACUGACCCCCUUUCUCCAUGUCAGAAUUGGAGAGAAGAAACACUCACAAGAUGGAAUAAAGAAUUGAAUGGUCUACUUCUUGUUUCUGCCAAGUUAGUGUCUGCUACAAAAAGAGAAACAAAUGAAAAAAAAAAAAACCUACUUAACUUAAGUCUAAGUAAGUGCUUCUUAUUAAUAUGCAUAUGAAUCUCCUGGUGAUCUUGAUAAAUUUCUGCUUCACUAUUUCUGAGGUAAGGCCUGAGAUUCUGCAUUUCUAACAAGCUCCCAGGUGAUGUUGAUACUGCUUGUCGGAAGACCACAUUUUGAGUAGUGUGUUAGCAGAAUUUUAAUGAAGCCCCUCCCCAGCCAAGGGGAAAGGAGUUUGCUGUUGUAAUUAAAGUCUCAAGUCAGUUGACCCUACGAUAUGGAGGUUAUCCAGUGGAGCCUGAUCUAAUCUCAUACGACCUUUAAAUGGCAGGCUCUAGAGGGAAAAGAGGAGUCAAAGACAUUUGAAGCAUAAGAGGGGUGUGACCGGCUGCUACUUUGAACGUGGAGGGGGCACAUGAGAAGGACUCUGUCGACUUUGAAGAGGUGAGCAUGGCCCCUAGUUGGCAGCCAGAAAGGAAAUGGAGACCUCCAAACUGGCUGACACCUUCGAUGAGCUGGAUUCCACAGCAACAUGAAUGAGGUUGGAAGAGGGUUCAUGCUCAGAGACUCUGGAACAGAUAGCUGCCUGGCUGCUUUCUGCCUUGUGAGGCUCCACGUGGGGAACCCAGCUUGGCCGUGCUGUGCCCAAACUUGUGACCCACAGGAACUGUGAGAUAAUAAAUGGUGUUGUUUUAAGCUGCUAAA